GACGAACGCUGGCGGCGUGCUUAACACAUGCAAGUCGUACGGUAAGGCCCUUUCGGGGGUACACGAGUGGCGAACGGGUGAGUAACACGUGAGUAACCUGCCCACAACUUUGGGAUAACGCUAGGAAACUGGUGCUAAUACUGGAUAUGUGCUCCUGCUGCAUGGUGGGGGUUGGAAAGCUCCGGCGGUUGUGGAUGGACUCGCGGCCUAUCGGCUUGUUGGUGGGGUAGUGGCCUACCAAGGCGGCGACGGGUAGCCGGCCGGAGAGGGUGACCGGCCACAUUGGGACUGAGAUACGGCCCAGACGCCUACGGGAGGCAGCAGUGGGGAAUAUUGCACAAUGGGCGCAAGCCUGAUGCAGCAACGCCGCGUGCGGGAUGACGGCCUUCGGGUUGUAAACCGCUUUCAGCAGGGACGAAGCUUUUUGUGACGGUACCUGCAGAAGAAGCACCGGCUAACUACGUG
RNAcentral lists this ribosomal RNA (465 nucleotides) under uncultured bacterium. RNAcentral describes it as "partial 16S ribosomal RNA". It matches the Rfam family "Bacterial small subunit ribosomal RNA", at positions 28 to 507 of the family's 1533-position model. The record is from RNAcentral.